UACGUAGGUGGCAAGCGUUGUCCGGAAUUACUGGGUGUAAAGGGAGCGUAGACGGCAUGGCAAGUCUGAUGUGAAAGCCCGGGGCUCAACCCCGGGACUGCAUUGGAAACUGCCAGGCUGGAGUGUCGGAGAGGUAAGAGGAAUUCCUAGUGUAGCGGUGAAAUGCGUAGAUAUCGGGAGGAACACCAGUGGCGAAGGCGGCCUGCUGGACAUUAACUGACGCUGAGGCUCGAAAGUAUGGGGAGCAAACAGGAUUAGAUACCCGGGUAGU
Molecule: ribosomal RNA, 271 nt
Filed under: uncultured prokaryote
Description: partial 16S ribosomal RNA
Rfam family: Bacterial small subunit ribosomal RNA
Source: RNAcentral